AUUGAACGCUGGCGGCAGGCCUAACACAUGCAAGUCGAGCGGAUGAAGGGAGCUUGCUCCUGGAUUCAGCGGCGGACGGGUGAGUAAUGCCUAGGAAUCUGCCUGGUAGUGGGGGAUAACGUCCGGAAACGGGCGCUAAUACCGCAUACGUCCUGAGGGAGAAAGUGGGGGAUCUUCGGACCUCACGCUACCAGAUGAGCCUAGGUCGGAUUAGCUAGUUGGUGGGGUAAAGGCCUACCAAGGCGACGAUCCGUAACUGGUCUGAGAGGAUGAUCAGUCACACUGGAACUGAGACACGGUCCAGACUCCUACGGGAGGCAGCAGUGGGGAAUAUUGGACAAUGGGCGAAAGCCUGAUCCAGCCAUGCCGCGUGUGUGAAGAAGGUCUUCGGAUUGUAAAGCACUUUAAGUUGGGAGGAAGGGCAGUAAGUUAAUACCUUGCUGUUUUGACGUUACCAACAGAAUAAGCACCGGCUAACUUCGCG
Molecule: ribosomal RNA, 484 nt
Filed under: uncultured bacterium
Lineage: Bacteria
Description: partial 16S ribosomal RNA
Rfam family: Bacterial small subunit ribosomal RNA
Source: RNAcentral